RNAcentral lists this ribosomal RNA (361 nucleotides) under uncultured bacterium. RNAcentral's name for it is "bacterial SSU rRNA". It matches the Rfam family "Bacterial small subunit ribosomal RNA", at positions 992 to 1353 of the family's 1533-position model. The record is from RNAcentral.
UGACGAACCCUUAACCGGGUUUUCUCUUCGGAGCAGGAGAGACAGGUGGUGCAUGGUUGUCGUCAGCUCGUGUCGUGAGAUGUUGGGUUAAGUCCCGCAACGAGCGCAACCCCUUAUUCUUAGUAGCCAGCGGUUCGGCCGGGCACUCUAGGGAGACUGCCAGGGAUAACCUGGAGGAAGGUGGGGAUGACGUCAAAUCAUCAUGCCCCUUAUGACUUGGGCUACACACGUGCUACAAUGGCGUAAACAAAGGGAAGCAAUCCCGCGAGGGGGAGCAAAUCUCAAAAAUAACGUCUCAGUUCGGACUGUAGUCUGCAACUCGACUACACGAAGCUGGAAUCGCUAGUAAUCGCGAAUCAGA